Phyllopteryx taeniolatus (common seadragon) is the source of this 1642-nucleotide long non-coding RNA. RefSeq lists it as uncharacterized. The transcript is spliced from 6 exons. The record is from RefSeq and is a predicted model, not a curated record. NCBI's taxonomy places the organism in Eukaryota, Metazoa, Chordata, Actinopteri, Syngnathiformes, Syngnathidae.
AUUUAGUUUUUGUGCGUGUGUGUGUGUGUUUGAAGCACACCCGAACGUUGGAUAACUGAUGAGUUUCAUCAACUUUCAUUGAAGUCGAGCAUCAUCUGCAUCGAACAGUACACUGAACAGCACAGGGGCAAAGUACAAUUCUCCGUGUGACGCCAUGACUUCAUCAUAGUCUUCAUAACUGAUAUUUGGAAAGUAGGAUUCAAACCAUUUUAAGGCAGUUGCUCAUAUAAUACCAAUGAUAUGAUCUAAUCUCUUUAUAAGGCUGUGAAGUAAGAUCUGACAAGCCAAGUACGGAGACAAGGCCUUUGUCUGAAGCAACAAGGAGGUCAUUAGCCAACCGCUUUCUUGAGAACCUUGGACAGGAAAGAAGGAUUGGUAGUGUUAUGGAGGGGACCCGUCGUCCAGCUUUGCAGUCUCAUUAAGAUAAGCCGCUUCCACUCAGCUGACGAACGUCAACAAAUGGCUGAUGAGCAGACAUCAUGCGGGGUCAUGGAGCUGCCAGGCUGCCUCCACAUGGGGCGGCUUCUUCACACACGGUUACACCAAGCAGCUCAUGGGAGGGGAGUGAAUGAUACGACUGGGAAGUCAGAAGGUUAAACAGAGGUGGAGGAAAGAGAUAACAGAAAGAAGAACACAAGUCCAUUGUUCACCUAGCCAAAUAUGUAUAUUUACAAAUUAAAGCUUCAAGUGGUGAUGAAGAAUCAUGUCCGCUAAAGGAUAAUAAUUUCCUACGGACUGAUGGCACCGUGGUCGAUUUCGCUGCUUUUAAUGGUGUAGAGCGUGAUGGCACUGGCAACUGUGCACAGAUUGUUGAAAGCGCAUUUAUUUCUUCAGAUGGAUUUUGGCAGGAUGAGAUGGCCCCAUACGUCUACAUCCAAGAUGUGCAGUUUUGCAGCGACAACGGCGGCGGCGGCCAUGAUGGCGGCGGCCUCGCCGUCGACUAAUUGGUCUUGUAACCAUCCUGUGUGCGUGUGUGUGUGUGCAGUGUUUUCAAACAUUAUUAAAUUAUUGUUUUGGUCACAGUAAGUUUGUCAAAUUUGGAUAGAAAUCUGAGAAAUAUUAGAUAUCUGCUGAACUGAUUGCACCAUAUAUACUCAGAUUGGAUAUUUUUAUUCCAUCUCCUGAGUGUUUAACUGUGAACAAAUCAGGAAGUGGGAGGAAAACAAUACCCCGUGCGAUUAACAGUGUUUAUCUACAGUGAUUAAAUAUGUGCAUGUCUAUAUGUUCACGUGUGCAUAACCACAGAUGUUGAAACUGGGACCAACAUGGUCUGUCACUGUCUUCCUGAAACUUUAGUAAAUGUUCCAUCUUCCCCAGAUCAAUGUGCACCCUAUGGGAAGGAGGAGGCAAGUGAACGUCAUGAAACUAAAACUUUGUGUAGUGUUCAGUUUGACAUGGAACGCAAAGGUUUGUUUCUCGAUUGUCCACUUGUUGCAGGUAUACACGGUACGGUGGAAGCUUAAAGGGGAUAUAUUAUGUAAAAGUUACUUUUUCAUUGCUUUCCUACAAAUAGCUGUUACUUUGGAGUGCUUGCCCACCCAACAAGUGUAGGCCUAUUUCUGAAUUUGUUUCUGUGGGAGAGCUGUUCUUCACCGAUUAAUGUGUAAUGCAUGUACCAUAUACACCCAUGUAAUGUGCAAAC